This 9809-nucleotide long non-coding RNA is filed under the name Triticum aestivum (bread wheat). Its description in RNAcentral is "long non-coding RNA (TAES_LNC008150)". The record is from RNAcentral. Lineage: Eukaryota; Viridiplantae; Streptophyta; Magnoliopsida; Poales; Poaceae.
UCAGAUUCUCCUUUCCUCGAUCAUAUAACCAACCCCCAUCAUCUCUUAUCACCAGAUCAGUCUGUUUAUAAAGUAGAGCUGCCCUGGUUAUCACUCAACAAGAAUGACCAUCCAAGGACAACAACAAGUAUCACAUGACCAAAAAGGAUUCUAGAGACAAGAGGGAGGAUCCAACUUGAUACCCACAGGUGCCUCGAUUGCUGAAAGGCACACUAAUUCCAGCCAAGGUAAUCAUCAUCGCCCUAGCACGAACACCACUUGAGCAUAAAUAAGCAACACCUUUAAAUACAAAUAAAAAUGGUUCAGGGAUCAUUGCAUAUCCGCCACACACGCCAUCACCGGCGCCGCUGAUAUGCCGCCCUCCUCCAUGGCCGUUGCCGCCGCCGUCGUGGUUGGUGGGAGCCACCUACGUAGGAGGGAGGGAGGCAGCUGCAGGAGCGAGUGAGAGAGGAGGCGGCGGCUAGGUCUCCCAUGGCAGCGGCCCCCUUUAUACCCCCUCCUAAGCAAAAUGACCGAAAUGCCCUGGUGGGGGCACGAUAUUUAGAAUUUGUUGCCAUUGGAAUUUUAUCCGACGGCCCAGGUCGAUCGGGGUCAAAAUCGGAUGGCUCACGGCGAUCAGGCACGAGAUCGGACGGCCGGUAUCGCGAGGGACUUUCGAUCGGACGGCCAGAAUGCUCUAAUCGCUGAGAACGCUCAGGUUGCGAUCCGUCUCAUGUUUCUGGUUUCAGGGUUCAUUGCAUUGCGGGCUCAGAUUCACCUUUCCUCGAUCAUAUAACCUACCCCCAUCAUCUCUUAUCACCAGAUCAAUCUCUUCAUACAAUGGAGCUGCCCUGGUUAUCACUCAACAAGAGUGACCAUCCAAGGACAACAACAAGUAUCACAGUGAAGGAAAUAUGCCCUAGAGGCAAUAAUAAAGUUAUUAUUUAUUUCCUCAAAUCAUGAUAAAUGUUUAUUAUUCAUGCUAGAAUUGUAUUAACCGGAAACAUGAUACAUGUGUGAAUACAUAGACAAACUUAAUGUCACUAGUAUGCCUCUACUUGACUAGCUCAUUAAUCAAAGAUGGUUAUGUUUCCUAACCAUAGACAUGUGUUGUCAUUUGAUUAAAGAGAUGACAUCAUUAGGAGAAUGAUGUGAUUGACUUGACCCAUUCAGUUAGCCUAGCACUUGAUCGUUUAGUAUGUUGCUAUUGCUUUCUUCAUGACUUAUACAAAGUUCCUACAACUAUGAGAUUAUGCAACUCCCGUUUACCGGAGGAACACUUUGUGUGCUACCAAACGUCACAACGUAACUGGGUGAUUAUAAAGGAGCUCUACAGGUGUCUCCAAAGAUAGAUGUUGAGUUAGCGUAUUUCAAGAUUAGGUUUUGUCACUCCGAUUGUCGGAAAGGUAUCUCUGGGCCCUCUCGGUAAUGCACAUCACUAUAAGCCUUGCAAGCAAUGUGACCAAUGAGUUGGUUACGGAAUGAUGCAUUACGCAACGAGUAAAGAGACUUGCCGGUAACGAGAUUGAACUAGGUUUUGGAUACCGACGAUUGAAUCUCGGGCAAGUAACAUACCGAUGACAAAGGGAAACACGUAUGUUGUUAUGCGGUUUGACCGAUAAAGAUCUUCGUAGAAUAUGUAGGAGUCAAUAUGAGCAUCCAGGUUCCGCUAUUGGUUAUUGACCGGAAAUAGUUCUAGGUCAUGUCUACAUAGUUCUCGAACCCGUAGGGUCCGCACGCUUAACGUUACGAUGACAGUUUUAUUAUGAGUUUAUAAGUUUUGAUGUACCGAAGGUUGUUCGAGUCCCGGAUGUGAUCACGGACAUGACGAGGAGUCUCGAAAUGGUCGAGACAUAAAGAUUGAUAUAUUGGAAGCCUAUAUUUGGAUAUCAGAAUUGUUUCGGGUGAAAUCGGGAUUUUUCCGGAGUACCGGGGGGUUACUGGACCCCCCCCCCCCGGGGGUUAAUGGGCCUACAUGGGCCCUAAGGGAGAAGNNNNNNNNNNNNNNNNNNNNNNNNNNNNNNNNNNNNNNNNNNNNNNNNNNNNNNNNNNNNNNNNNNNNNNNNNNNNNNNNNNNNNNNNNNNNNNNNNNNNNNNNNNNNNNNNNNNNNNNNNNNNNNNNNNNNNNNNNNNNNNNNNNNNNNNNNNNNNNNNNNNNNNNNNNNNNNNNNNNNNNNNNNNNNNNNNNNNNNNNNNNNNNNNNNNNNNNNNNNNNNNNNNNNNNNNNNNNNNNNNNNNNNNNNNNNNNNNNNNNNNNNNNNCCUACAAGGCAAGAGGGGGGAGUCCUACUCCCGCUGGGAGUAGGACUCCUCCAGGCGCACCCCUAGGGGCCGGCCGCACCUCCCCCCUCCCUCCUUUAUAUACGAGGGCAGGGGGCACCCCAUGACACACAAGUUGAUCUUCAUGAUCGUUCCUUAGCCGUGUGCGGUGCCCCCUCCACCAUAUUCCACCUCGAUCGUAUCGUUGCGGUGCUUAGGCGAAGCCCUGCGUCGGUAGAACAUCAUCAUCAUCACCACGCCGUCGUGCUGACGGAACUCAUCCCCGACACCCUGCUGGAUCGGAGUCUGGGGAUCGUCAUCGAGCUGAACGUGUGCUGAACUCGGAGGUGUCGUACGUUCGUUGCUUGGAUCGGUCGGAUCGUGAAGACGUACGACUACAUCAACCGCGUUGUCAUAACGCUUCCGCUUUCGGUCUACGAGGGUACAUGGACACACUCUCCCCUCUAGUUGCUAUGCAUCACCAUGAUCUUGCGUGUGCGUAGGAAUUUUUUUGAAAUUACUAUGUUCCCCAACAGUGGCGUCCGAGCCUAGGUUUUAUGCAUUGAUGUUAUAUGCACGAGUAGAACACAAGUGAGUUGUGGGCGAUACAAGUCAUAUUGCUUACCAACAUGUCAUAUUUUGGUUCAGCGGUAUUGUUGGAUGAAGCGGCCCGGACGGACAUUACGCGUAUGCUUACGCGAGACUGGUUUUACCGCCGUGCUUCGCACACAGGUGACUAGCGGGUGUCUGUUUCCCCAACUUUAGUUGAACUGAGUGUGGCUACGCCCGGUCCUUGCGAAGGUUAAAACAGCACUAACUUGACGAACUAUCGUUGUGGUUUUGAUGCGUAGGUAAGAACGGUUCUUGCUCAGCCCAUAGCAGCCACGUAAAAUUUGCAACAACAAAGUAGAGGACAUCUAACUUGUUUUUGCAGGGCAUGUUGUGAUGUGAUAUGGUCAAGACGUGAUGCUAUAUUUUAUUGUAUGAGAUGAUCAUGUUUUGUAACCGAAGUUAUCGACAACUGGCAGGAGCCAUAUGGUUGUCGCUUUAUUGUAUGAAAUGCAAACGCCCUGUAAUUGCUUUACUUUAUCACUAAGCGGUAGCGAUAGUCGUAGAAGCAAUAGAUGGCGUAACGACACCGAUGCUGCGAUGGAGAUCAAGGUGUCGCGCCGGUGAUGAUGAUGAUCACGAUGGUGCUUCGGAGAUGGAGAUCACAAGCACAAGAUGAUGAUGGCCAUAUCAUAUCACUUAUAUUGAUUGCAUGUGAUGUUUAUCCUUUAUGCAUCUUAUCUUCCUUUGAUUGACGGUAGCAUUUUAAGAUGAUCUCUCACUAAAUAAUCAAGAAGUAUUCUCCCUGAGUAUGCACCGUUGUGAAAGUUCUUCGUGCUGAGACACCACGUGAUGAUCGGGUGUGAUAGGCUCUACGUUCAAAUACAACGGGUGCAAAACAGUUGCACACGCGAAAUACUCAGGUUAAACUUGACGAGCCUAGCAUAUACAGAUAUGGCCUCGGAACACAGAGACUGAAAGGUCGAGCGUGAAUCAUAUAGUAGAUAUGAUCAACAUAGUGAUGUUCACCAUUGAAAACUACUCCAUCUCACGUGAUGAUCGGACAUGGUUUAGUUGAUUUGGAUCACGUGAUCACUUAUAUGACUAGAGAGAUGUCUGUCUAAGUGGGAGUUCUUAAGUAAUAUGAUUAAUUGAACUUAAAUUUAUCAUGAACUUAGUACCUGAUAGUAUUUUUGCUUGUCUAUGUUUGUUGUAGAUAGAUGGCUCGUGCUGUUGUUCCGUUGAAUUUUAAUGCGUUCCUUGAGAAAGCUAAGUUGAAAGAUGAUGGUAGCAAUUACACAGACUGGGUCCGUAACCUGAGGAUUAUCCUCAUUGCUGCACAGAAGAAUUACGUCCUGGAAGCACCGCUGGGUGCUAGGCCUGCUGCAGAUGCAACUAACGACGUUAAGAACGUCUGGCAAAGUAAAGCUGAUGACUACUCGAUAGUUCAGUGUGCCAUGCUUUACGGUUUGGAACCGGGUAUUCAACGAUGUUUUGAACGUCAUGGAGCAUAUGAGAUGUUCCAGGAGUUGAAGUUAAUAUUUCAAGCAAAUGCCCGGAUUGAGAGAUAUGAAGUCUCCAAUAAGUUCUAUAGCUGUAAGAUGGAGGAGAAUAGUUCUGUCAGUGAACACAUACUCAAAAUGUCUGGGUAUAAUAAUCACUUGAUUCAACUGGGAGUUAAUCUUCCUGAUGAUAGUGUCAUUGACAGAAUUCUUCAAUCACUGCCACCAAGCUACAAGAGCUUCGUGAUGAACUAUAAUAUGCAAGGGAUGGACAAGACUAUACCCGAGCUCUUCGCAAUGCUAAAGGCUGCGGAGGUAGAAAUCAAGAAGGAGCAUCAAGUGUUGAUGGUCAAUAAGACCACCAGUUUCAAGAAAAAGGGCAAAGGGAAGAAGAAGGGGAACUUCAAGAAGAACAGCAAACAAGUUGCUGCUCAAGAGAAGAAACCCAAGUCUGGACCUAAGCCUGAGACUAAGUGCUUCUACUGCAAGCAGACUGGACACUGGAAGCGGAACUUCCCCAAGUAUUUGGCUGAUAAGAAGGAUGGCAAAGUGAGCAAAGGUAUAUGUGAUAUACAUGUUAUUGAUGUGUACCUUACUAAUGCUCGCAGUAGCACCUGGGUAUUUGAUACUGGUUCUGUUGCUAAUAUUUGCAACUCAAAACAGGGACUACGGAAUAGGCAAAGAUUGGCUAAGGACAAGGUGAUGAUGCGCGUGGGAAAUGGUUCCAAAGUCGAUGUGAUCACGGUCGGCACGCUACCUCUACAUCUACCAUCAGGAUUAGUUUUAGACCUAAAUAAUUGUUAUUUUGUGCCAGCGUUGAGCAUGAACAUUAUAUGUGGAUCUUGUUUGAUGCGAGACGGUUAUUCAUUUAAAUUAGAGAAUAAUGGUUGUUCUAUUUAUAUGAGUAAUAUCUUUUAUGGUCAUGCACACUUACAGAGUGGUCUAUUUUUAUUAAAUCUCGAUAGGAGUGAUACACAUAUUCAUAAUGUUGAAACCAAAAGAUGCAGAGUUAAUAAUGAUAGUGCAACUUAUUUAUGGCACUGCCGUUUAGGUCAUAUCGGUGUAAAGCGCAUGAAGAAACUCCAUACUGAUGGACUUUUGGAAUCACUUGAUUAUGAAUCACUUGGUACUUGCAAACCGUGCGUCAUGGGCAAGAUGACUAAAACGCCGUUCUCCGGAACUAUAGAGCGAGCAACUGAUUUGUUAGAACUCAUACAUACCGAUGUAUGUGGUCCAAUAAAUGUCGAAGCUCGCGGCGGGUAUCGUUAUUUUCUCACCUUCACAGAUGAUUUGAGCAGAUAUGGGUAUAUCUACUUGAUGGAACACAAGUCUGAAACAUUUGAAAAGUUCAAAGGAUUUCAGAGUGAAGUAGAAAAUCAUCGUAACAAGAAAAUAAAAUUUCUACGAUCUGAUCGUGGAGGAGAAUAUUUGAGUUACGAGUUUGGUUUACAUUUGAAACAAUGCGGAAUAGUUUCGCAACUCACGCCACCCGAAACACCAUAACGAAAUGGUGUGUCCGAACGUCGUAAUCGUACUUUACUGGAUAUGGUAUGAUCUAUGAUGUCUAUUACUGAUUUACCGCUAUCAUUUUGGGGUUAUGCUUUAGAGACGGCCGCAUUCACGUUAAAUAGGGCACCAUCAAAAUCCGUUGAGACGACGCCUUAUGAACUGUGGUUUGGCAAGAAACCAAAGUUGUCGUUUCUUAAAGUUUGGGGCUGCGAUGCUUAUGUGAAGAAACUUCAACCAGAUAAGCUCGAACCCAAAUCGGAGAAAUGUCUCUUCAUAGGAUACCCAAAAGAGACAAUUGGGUACACCUUCUAUCACAGAUCUGAGGGCAGGAUUUUCGUUGCUAAAAUCGGAUCCUUUCUAGAGAAGGAGUUUCUCUCGAAAGAAGUGAGUGGUAGGAAAGUAGAACUUGAUGAGGUAACUGUACCUGCUUCCUUAGUUCAUCACAAGAACCGGUUCCUGUGACAACUACACCAAUUAGUGACGAAGCUAAUGAUAUUGAUCAUGAAUCUUCAGAUCAAGUUUCUACUGAACCUCGUAGGUCUACCAGAGUAAGAUCCGGACCAGAGUGGUACGGUAAUCAUGUUCUGAAAGUCAUGUUACUUGACCAUGGCAAACCUGCGAACUAUGAGCAAGCGAUGAUGAGCCCAGAUUCCACAAAAUGGCUUAAAGCCAUGAAAUCUGAGAUAGGAUCCAUGUAUGAGAACGAAUUAUGGACUUUGGUUGACUUGCCCGAUGAUCGGCAAGCCAUUGAGAAUAAAUGGAUCUUCAAGAAGAAGACUGACGCUGAUGGUAAUAUAACUGUCUACAAAGCUCGACUUGUUGCAAAAGGUUUUCGACAAGUUCAAGGGAUUGACUACGAUGAGACUUUCUCACCCGUAGCGAUGCUUAAGUCUGUCCGAAUCAUGUUAGCAAUUGCCGCAUUUUAUGAUUAUGAAAUUUGGCAAAUGAAUGUAAAAACUGCAUUCCUGAAUGGAUUUCUGGAAGAAGAGUUGUAUAUGAUGCAACCGGAAGGUUUUGUCGAUCCAAAAGGUGCUAACAAAGUGUGCAAGCUCCAGCGAUCCAUUUAUGGACUGGUGCAAGCAUCUCGGAGUUGGAAUAAACGUUUUGGUAGUGUGAUCAAAGCAUAUGUUUUAUAAAAACUUUUGGAGAAGACUGUAUUUACAAGAAAGUGAGUGGGAUCUCUGUAGCAUUUCUGAUAUUAUAUGUAGAUGACAUAUUGUUAAUUGGAAAUGAUAUAGAAUUUCUGGAUAGCAUAAAGGGAUACUUAAAUAAAAGUUUUUCAAUGAAAGACCUCGGUGAAGCUGCUUACAUAUUGGGUAUCAAGAUCUAUAGAGAUAGAUCAAGACGUUUAAUUGGACUUUCACAAAGCACAUACCUUGAUAAAGUUUUGAAAAGGUUCAAAAUGGAUCAGGCAAAGAAAGGGUUCUUGCCUGUAUUACAAGGUGUGAAGUUGAGUCAGACUCAAUGCCCGACCACAGCAGAAGAUAGAGAGAAAAUGAAAGAUGUUCCCUAUGCUUCAGCCAUAGGCUCUAUCAUGUAUGCAAUGCUGUGUACCAGACCUGAUGUAUGCUUAGCAAUAAGUUUAGCAGGGAGGUACCAAAGUAAUCCAGGAGUGGAUCACUGGACAGCGGUCAAGAACAUCCUGAAAUACCUGAAAAGGACUAAGGAUAUGUUUCUUGUUUAUGGAGGUGACAAAGAGCUAGUCUUAAAUGGUUACGUCGAUGCAAGUUUACACUGAUCCGGACGAUUCUAAAUCGCAAACCGGAUACGUAUUUUUAUUAAACGGUGGAGCUGUAAGUUGGUGCAGUUCUAAACAAAGCGUCGUGGCGGGAUCUACAUGCGAAGCGGAGUACAUAGCUGCUUCAGAAGCAGCAAAUGAAGGAGUCUGGAUGAAGGAGUUCAUUUCCGAUCUAUGUGUCAUACCUAGUGCAUCGGGACCAAUGAAGAUCUUCUGUGACAAUACGGGUGCAAUUGCCUUGGCAAAGGAAUCCAGAUUUCACAAGAGGACCAAUCACAUCAAGAGACGCUUCAAUUCCAUCCGGGACCAAGUCCAGGUGGGAGACAUAGAGAUUUGCAAGAUACAUACGAAUCUGAAUGUAGCAGACCCGUUGACUAAGCCUCUUCCACGAGCAAAACAUGAUCAGCACCAAGACUCCAUGGGUGUUAGAAUCAUUACUGUGUAAUCUAGAUUAUUGACUCUAGUCCAAGUGGGAGACUGAAGGAAAUAUGUCCUAGAGGCAAUAAUAAAGUUAUUAUUUAUUUCCUCAAAUCAUGAUAAAUGUUUAUUAUUCAUGCUAGAAUUGUAUUAACCGGAAACAUGAUACAUGUGUGAAUACAUAGACAAACUUAAUGUCACUAGUAUGCCUCUACUUGACUAGCUCAUUAAUCAAAGAUGGUUAUAUUUCCUAACCAUAGACAUGUGUUGUCAUUUGAUUAAAGAGAUCACAUCAUUAGGAGAAUGAUGUGAUUGACUUGACCCAUUCAGUUAGCCUGGCACUUGAUCGUUUAGUAUGUUGCUAUUGCUUUCUUCAUGACUUAUACAAAGUUCCUACAACUAUGAGAUUAUGCAACUCCCGUUUACCGGAGGAACACUUUGUGUGAUACCAAAUGUCACAACGUAACUGGGUGAUUAUAAAGGAGCUCUACAGGUGUCUCCAAAGAUAGAUGUUGAGUUGGCGUAUUUCGAGAUUAGGUUUUGUCACUCCGAUUGUUGGAAAGGUAUCUCUGGGCCCUCUCGGUAAUGCACAUCACUAUAAGCCUUGCAAGCAAUGUGAUCAAUGAGUUGGUUACGAAAUGAUGCAUUACGUAACGAGUAAAAAGACUUGCCGGUAACGAGAUUAAACUAGGUUUUGGAUACCGACGAUCGAAUCCCGGGCGAGUAACAUACCGAUGACAAAGGGAAACACGUAUGUUGUUAUGCGGUUUGACCGAUAAAGAUCUUCGUAGAAUAUGUAGGAGCCAAUAUGAGCAUCCAGGUUCCACUAUUGGUUAUUGACCGGAAAUAGUUCUAGGUCAUGUCUACAUAGUUCUCGAACCCGUAGGGUCCGCACGCUUAACGUUGCGAUGACAGUUUUAUUAUGAGUUUAAAAGUUUUGAUGUACCGAAGGUUGUUCGGGGUCCCGGAUGUGAUCACGGACAUGACGAGGAGUCUCAAAAUGGUCGAGACAUAAACAUUGAUAUAUUGGAAGCCUAUAUUUGGAUAUCGGAAUUGUUCCGGGUGAAAUCAGGAUUUUUCCGGAGUACCGGGGGGUUCCGGAGCCCCCCCGGAGGUUAAUGGGCCUACAUGGGCCCUCAGGGAGAAGAGGAGGGCCGGCCAGGGCAGGCCGCGCGCCCCCUGCCCCUAGUCCGAAUAGGACAAGGAAGGGGGGGGGCGCCCCCCUUUCCUCUUUCCCCUUCCCCCUUUCCUUCUCCUACAAGGCAAGAGGGGGGAGUCCUACUCCCGGUGGGAGUAGGACUCCUCCAGGCGCACCCCUAGGGGCCGGCCGCACCUCCCCCUCCCUCUUUUAUAUACGGGGGCAGGGGGCACCCCAUGACACACAAGUUGAUCUUCGUGAUCGUUCCUUAGCCGUGUGCGGUGCCCCCCUCCACCAUAUUCCACCUCGGUCGUAUCGUUGCGGUGCUUAGGUGAAGCCCUGCGUCGGUAGAACAUCAUCAUCGUCACCACGCCGUUGUGCUGACGGAACUCAUCCUCGACACCCUGCUGGAUCGGAGUCCGGGGAUCGUCAUCGAGCUGAACGUGUGCUGAACUCGGCGGUGCCGUACGUUCGGUGCUUGGAUCGGUCGGAUCGUGAAGACGUACGACUACAUCAACCGCGUUGUCAUAACGCUUCCGCUUUCGGUUUACGAGGGUACGUGGACACACUCUCCCCUCUCGUUGCUAUGCAUCACCAUGAUCUUGCGUGUGCGUAGGAAUUUUUUUAAAAUUACUACGUUCCCCAACACACAGGAUCAAAAAGGAUUCUAGAGACAAGAGGGAGGAUCCAACCUGAUACACAUAGGUGCCACGAUUGCU